CGGUCUACCUCGACAGAAACCUUCGGGUUGAAGACGAGAUCUAGAUAGUGGCGGACGGGUGAGUAACACGUGAAUAAUCUGUCCUCAAGUCUGGGAUAACCUGGCGAAAGUCGGGCUAAUCCGAGGUAAGCUGAGAGUGUGGCAUCACACAAUCAGAAAAGGUGGUUUUACCAUCGUUUGAGGAGGAGUUCGCGGUAGAUUAGCUAGCUGGUGAGGUAACGGCUCACCAGGGCAACAAUCUAUAGCUGGUCUGAGAGGACGAUCAGUCACACUGGAACUGAGACACGGUCCAGACUCCUACGGGAGGCAGCAGUGGGGAAUCUUCCACAAUGGGCGAAAGCCUGAUGGAGCAACGCCGCGUGAGUGAAGAAGGUCUUAGGAUUGUAAAGCUCUGUCCUUAGGGAAGAACCGUGGGUAUAGUAAAUGCUACUCACCUGACGGUACCUUUGGAGGAAGCACUGGCUAACUACGUGCCAGCAGCCGCGGUAAUACGUAGAGUGCAAGCGUUGUCCGGAAUUAUUGGGCGUAAAGGGUACGCAGGCGGAUAAUCAAGUCAAGCGUGAAAGGUGUCGGCUUAACCGACAGACUGCGUUUGAAACUGGUUAUCUUGAGUGUAACAGAGGAGAGUGGAAUUCCUAGUGUAGUGGUGAAAUACGUAGAUAUUAGGAAGAACACCAGUGGCGAAGGCGACUCUCUGGGUUAACACUGACGCUGAGGUACGAAA
This 724-nucleotide ribosomal RNA is filed under the name uncultured bacterium. RNAcentral's name for it is "bacterial SSU rRNA". It matches the Rfam family "Bacterial small subunit ribosomal RNA", at positions 63 to 758 of the family's 1533-position model. The record is from RNAcentral.